GGGAUUAUAGUUAAUAAUAACAUUUAGUUUGCAUCUAAAAAGUAUUGAAUGAUCAAUUAUUCUCA
Molecule: transfer RNA, 65 nt
Filed under: Deronectes costipennis
Lineage: Eukaryota; Metazoa; Arthropoda; Insecta; Coleoptera; Dytiscidae
Description: tRNA-Ala
Source: RNAcentral